Lacerta agilis (Sand lizard) is the source of this 351-nucleotide long non-coding RNA. RefSeq lists it as uncharacterized. The transcript has 4 exons. Lineage: Eukaryota; Metazoa; Chordata; Lepidosauria; Squamata; Lacertidae. The record is from RefSeq and is a predicted model, not a curated record.
CCUCCUCCUCCGCGAGUUCUCCCCUCACGGGAAGCGGCUGCCUUUUGCCCGACGAGGGAAGUUCGGACCCGAGAGGCGGCGGCGGCGGCGCCUGGCAGUCGGAAGCGGAGGACAACUGCUUACUCGAGCACGGAGCGCGGAACUGAGGCAGCCGCGAGAGGGAGGCCCCUGCUUCUCGGCGAAGGAGCGCGCUGGACCAAUCACAGAAUGUGGAAAUAUGGAGAACUGAACUUAAGACUGGAACAAUGAGAACUGGAGAGAAGCCUAAAUCUAUGAGUAUAGUUCACUGUCGGCAGCAAACUCUAAAGAAGUGUUAAGAUAAGAACCAAGAAGUGCAGUGAGAGACUCUUG